Molecule: small nuclear RNA, 65 nt
Organism: Callithrix jacchus (white-tufted-ear marmoset)
Lineage: Eukaryota; Metazoa; Chordata; Mammalia; Primates; Cebidae
Gene: U7
Rfam family: U7 small nuclear RNA
About the family: Animal histone pre-mRNAs are spliced by a different mechanism than nuclear pre-mRNAs and self-splicing introns. This processing involves the U7 snRNP, which contains only one RNA species: U7.
Source: Ensembl
AAAUGUUAAAAUUCUUUUAGAAUUUGUCUUAGCAGGAUUUACCAUUUUUGCUGGAAAGUACCCCC